GGUGGAGGUCCGUGUGAUGAACCAAUGGGUGCGGAAGACCUACCUGGAGCUGUGGAUCUCCAGCGUCCAACUCGACCCCAUUUUCCCCUUUGCCUUCACCAAACUCGACGACAUCGUCUCGCCGCACGCCACCGAGGACCAUGUCCACGCCCAGGGAAAAUUACUGGAGUAGGUGCCGCGGAUGUUCUGUCGAUGGUGGAGGCGGACCUGAUGCAGAGCUCGUUGCGCGUCAUCGCCAAGGCCAAGAAGCUCUGCGGGCGCAGAAUAGCCGUCAUCGGAGGCUGAGGUAUCUGCGAGGUAUACUCUGUUCUCCACGCGGAAGCGACCCAAAGGCAACAUCGUCGGCGCAACGGCCUGGCCGGAGGCAGCGGUGGCCGGUGGUUAUGGGGGCUUGGCGGCGACCUGGAGGUGAACGAGCUCGGCGGCGACCGUGAUACCUCCAGCGUUCUUGCGUACCUAAGAGGAUUCAUACUGGCAUGUUGCCUUCCUCUUCAGGGAUGAUUCCUUCCUCUUCAAGGUGGAGAGAAGUUGAGGUCUGGAAGAACCAUGGUGAUCUGUUUUGCUGCCGAGCGAGGAAGAAAGUGUUGUGCUGGCGCGCGUGGACCUGGAGGUGCUGGCCGACGAUCUGUUGGGUGGAUGCUGGGUGCAUGGACCUAGGAGGAGCGGCUGUCUUCCGGGAAGUGCAGCUGGUCGAUCUGGAGCUGCCGGCGAGCUGGGUGGCGCAACCAGAUGGUCGGUGCAGGAGGAAGCGCAUGAGGAGGCAGUGCGUGCUUCGAUCUCUGGUGACUCCUAGCCCUGGCGUUCCUGGUGAAGCCCUUGACGAGGGGCGAUGAGCUACUGGCUAAGGGGACGGCGGCCGGCUUCCGGGACCGAUCGGAUCUGGGACUUGUUGAGCGGAGGAGAAGUAGCUGGAGGCCAGAGGUGGAGUCACUGGGCGGAG
This is a long non-coding RNA of Lolium rigidum, 940 nucleotides long. RefSeq lists it as uncharacterized. The transcript is spliced from 3 exons. The record is from RefSeq and is a predicted model, not a curated record. Lineage: Eukaryota; Viridiplantae; Streptophyta; Magnoliopsida; Poales; Poaceae.